GGAAACUUGGCAGAGUUGGUUUAAUGUAGCAGUCUUGAAAACUGUCGGGUGUAAAAGCUCCGUGGGUUCGAAUCCCACAGUUUCCUCCA
RNAcentral lists this transfer RNA (89 nucleotides) under Caudoviricetes sp. RNAcentral describes it as "tRNA-Ser". It matches the Rfam family "tRNA". From Rfam's summary of the family: Transfer RNA (tRNA) molecules are approximately 80 nucleotides in length. Their secondary structure includes four short double-helical elements and three loops (D, anti-codon, and T loops). Further hydrogen bonds mediate the characteristic L-shaped molecular structure. tRNAs have two regions of fundamental functional importance: the anti-codon, which is responsible for specific mRNA codon recognition, and the 3' end, to which the tRNAs corresponding amino acid is attached (by aminoacyl-tRNA synthetases). tRNAs cope with the degeneracy of the genetic code in two manners: having more than one tRNA (with a specific anti-codon) for a particular amino acid; and 'wobble' base-pairing, i.e. permitting non-standard base-pairing at the 3rd anti-codon position. Lineage: Duplodnaviria; Heunggongvirae; Uroviricota; Caudoviricetes. The record is from RNAcentral.